RNAcentral lists this long non-coding RNA (581 nucleotides) under Macaca nemestrina (pig-tailed macaque). Its description in RNAcentral is "lncRNA (ENSMNEG00000045762.1)". The record is from RNAcentral. Lineage: Eukaryota; Metazoa; Chordata; Mammalia; Primates; Cercopithecidae.
CCACUGGUGUGUUUGCUUAAAAAUGUUUUUCUUUUUUUCUGAUUAAAAUAUGUUAAAUGCUUAUUAUAAAGCAUCUGGGAAUAGGAAAACAGAGACUUAAAAGUGACCUAUACCAUAGGUAAAGAUAUUUCACAUGGACAUGCAGGAGAAAGGGAUGCUCCCAGGCCUGCCAUAUCAGAAGCCAAUCGGAACUACUCAAUGGAGUGGCAGCUCCUAUGACCAGAUGGCCCAGGCAGCUAAGUCUGGUGUUCAAGAACCCCAGACUCCCCAUCACUUGAUAGAGGCUAGACAAGCCCUGGACCCAGUGGAACCCCCAGCCUCCAGGCUGCAGAGCAAGAGCUAAGGGUGGUUUGGAGAAAGCCACAGGUGCUUAAAAGAAGUCAAAGAGGUUCAUAUUUGCUGUUCUGUUGUUCUUGGUCGUGGCAGUAAUUCAAAGUCUCAAGUAUGCAAAAACGAGUUGGAAAUGUUUUAAAAGGGCAGCCAAGUAGGCAUUUCUCUUCCAAAUAACAGGCUUGAUUCCACUGUUGGAUUUUUUAAAAAACUUUUAUUUAUCUUCACUAAUUAUUUAACUUUGAUUUUCA